AGGAAGCCAUAAUCUGAGGCUUAGCGGCGGCGUCAGCCACCUUGGACGCUAUGAAUCUUGUUGCGAGGUGGAUUUGCGGAGGAGGAGCGACACCAACCACCCUUGUCAGUGAAGGAAAAGAAACAAUGCUGCCUGGCCAGAUUCUUCAUCUCUAAAUCUCAAAUUCAAAUUAUGUCCCUCUCCGUUGGGUGGCGGUUGGAGUAGGAAUUGUGGAUCUUUAUUUGUUGGAGAAGAAGAUAUGAGGAUAUAAAUUGGGUCCGGGAGUUGUGCGUGUCAUGUAAUUCUCAUGAUUAUUUAUCCUUGUUUUCCAAGUAAUACGAUUAAUAAUCUAUUAGGAUUUAUAAAAAUCACAGUUUAAUAGAAUUAGGACUGCAACCAUCUUUCACUUUUUAACAAAAAUUACAACAACAAAGCCUUAUUGAUCCUUCUAAAUAAGAAUUUUUUAUUUUAGAAAAAGUAAAUGAUUGUUUGGUUCAGAAGAAUAGUUUUCCUAUUUGUUUGUUUGUAAUUUUCUGUUUCGUUUUACAAAACCAUUUCAUUUAUAAAUAACGUUAAGAGAGCGUGUGAUACUUUUUGAUCCCUCACCUCAGCUGGGUUGAUAAAUAUCUUUAGCUCAAUACGUAAUUAAGAUUGUUUGUUCAAUUUAUUGGAGCUGAGCAGUGUGCCAUUCCUAAUUUCUUUGGUUUACAAUUGUCACGCAGCUCAUGCUGCCAUGGUUCCACGCUUGUUAAACUACUUUUAGUUUGAACAAUGUUUUGCGAAACCCAUUCUGCCAUGGUUCCACGCUUGUUAAACUACUUUUAGUUUGAACAAUGUUUUGCGAAACCCAUUCAUUAAACCACUCUAUUUUAUAUUAAUUCAUAUAUAUAUAUAUAUAGAAAGCAAAUAGCAUAAACGGUUUUACGUGCGUCCACGUUUGCCUAAUUUAUUUAUCUAAGAGGCAAAACGUUUUUACGUGCAUCCACAUUCGCCUAAUUUAAAAUAUUUAAAAUAGCACUCUUACUUAAUGCUGCUUGCUUCAGCACUUCUUCCUUCUCUUCUCUAGAGUGACCUAAUGCUCCUUGAGCACUUUUUCCUUUUCUGGAGUAACCUCUAUCCCCACCCUCUACUUCCCUUUUGAAAUUGCCAGAGUUAUCAUCAUUUAUUAAAAAUUCCACUUUCCAACCAUGCUCCUCAGAAGAGGCAAGCUUGCAGAGGGCUUCUGCAUCUUGGAAAUCUUCAACAACAACUCUCCUAUGGCUCUGUAGCUCCUCCCCGUCUCUUAGAAAAGCCGCCUUCUUCGCAUGGAAGUUUUCUAGCUUUUCAGAGUCAACAUUUUGGUUAUUACUUUCGAGGCUUCUCACCUCUCUCUUCAGGGGAAGGUAAUCAUUUUGUUUGUUUGAUUUCUUUCUAAUAUUCAAAUAAUUAUUGUUGUGUAAUCCUGAUAGCAUUGUUGCUGCAGCUUGAAUAGAUAUGUACCAGAGCAUGUGAGAUGCUCUUGCGCAGCAGUAUGGUGGCUCUGCAGCUCACAACACUGUAUGUUCUUAUUUUAUUCUUGGGUUAGAGCAUGUAUAUAUUAUCAGUUGGUAGAUGUCAUAGAUCAACCCCUAUAUUCUAACGUAAAGUAAAAAAAGAAGAAAAACUCUAACUCUAAUCAGAUGUCCACUGAAAAGAAAACAAAUCACAUUACAGAUCAAUACCUUUUUGCAAUCUUCUUGACAACAACAACUUAUCUGGGUAUCUUCUGCCAGGGUUCUCGGAGUUGCCAAGCUUAUUAAUGCUGUAUGUUUUCUUACUUCGGAACAUAAAUUUGUGCCUUAAUUAUGUUUUCAUCCUUUCCUUUCUUGCAUUUUCGUACCGUUGGGAACAAUUCUUUAGACUUUCCUUUUUCUACAACAUAAUUUGAGGGAUAUCAAGUUUCUUAGCCCUAUAAUCUUAUUUGUUUUGCAGUCAAGUUGACAACAACAACUUUGGUGGGAUUACAAUUCCAGAUUCGUAUAGCAACAUGUCUAAACUGUUCAAGUUGUAAGUGCUGCUUAUGAUUCUAUGUCUUUUGGUAAGUUGUAAGAGCUUUAAAUCUCCAUUUUUUCAUACAUCAGAUUUAAAGCUCCAACUACGGAGGUGUAAAUCCAAAAGAUUUGUGAUUAACCAUAGCAACAAUAGAGGGAAUCAUAGUUUUUGUUGGGAAACACAUUUCCAACCACUGUGCAGGGAACAUCUCCCGUUUCUAUCUGAUGUUAUAUCACAUUAGGUGAUGGUGCUAGUUGUUUGGAAUGACAAUCGAGAAGUAGCUCUUAAUAUUUAACACAACGAAUCAUGUCAACAUUGAAUAUCUUUGUGUUUUUGUUGAUUCUUUCAGGAGUUUGAGGAACUGCAACUUACAAGGGCCUAUUCCUAAUUUCAAUAGGUUUCCAAACCUUGGUUAUGCAUAGGUUCAAGUUUAAUUGUGUAAUAAAUGGAGAGAUUGAUCGCCGUCACUCAUAGCUGCGUUUCAGGAAACAAGUUUAUCUCUUGCCAAUUUUGUGUACCCACUUUUUAUUCAUGAUGGUUAGUGCUCGCUUGCAACCCAAUUAGCUGCUAUAAAGUUUUGCGUUUUACAAUCGGUUCAUGCUUAAACCUCUUCCAAUUUUGCAAUUCUGUGUAAAUCUUGCAGGUCAAGAUGGGACACAUAUCUGGGCAAUGUUGGGAUGUCUAGGCUUGGGUGGAGACGUGGACUUAUAAAAGUGGUGAAGUAGCUUAGCUCUAUCUCAUUAGCUCUCAUCUGUUCUGUUUAAAGCUCAUUGGUGCUGGCUCUGAGAUUUUUCGAAACUCUCCGUUUUCGAAAUCUGAAGCUUAGAAUCCCAUUCAACCACAAGGAACUAGAAUAAUUGGAAAAAAAAAUGUUUUGGCGUCCAAAAAGAAGCAUGUGCAAUCCUCUAAUUUUAUUAAUAUAAAAGAAGUGAUGCAAAUCCAGUAAAGAUGUAAAUAAGAGCUAUUAGUGGGGAAAAAAUAGUUGUGUUUGUACCAUACUUAGGGCCUCCAUAUUUAGAUCUCGUAUAAAUACUCGGGAGAUUCAAAUGUAAUUAUGUAAUAAAGGAAGGGGCAAAUAUGUAAUAAAUGAGGAGCCCUUAUUCUAUAAAAUGACCUCUCACUCUCCUCAUUAAGGAGGCCAAUUCCUAGGCCAUGAGAAGCCUCCUCACAUCCCCUAAGCUCUAAGCUCUCUCAAAGCUCUCACUCUCAUAUUCAGAGCUCUCUCUCCCUCAGAAAUACAAUAUCAGUGUGGACGUAGCCUAAACCUUGGGGUGAACCACGAUACAUCUUGUGUUAUUUACUUUCUUGCAGAUUCACGGUCAGAUUUACGUUGUUCCAAGACCCUUCCGGUUUUGUGCAUCAACAUUUGGCGCCGUCUGUGGGAAACGACACGAAAAACUAUGUCGGUUCUCUUUCAUUUUUUCACCUUCACCAUGAAUCUGCAUAAUCUGCAAAAUCUACAAAAACCCAUGAACCCAAAGCUUUCCUAAAAAAACCCAGAAACAGAAAAAAAUUCAAUCUUUCUUCUCUCUCUUUGCAUUUCACUCUCAAAUCUCCAUUUCUGAGUUUCGAAAAUGCAGAUGCUUUCCCGACAUUGGGUACCUUUCUCCAACUGCUCUCAGGUUACAGCCGUUGAUCCGCGACCCGAAAACCGGCGGAGCCCCACCAUUCUCCGAAUUCUCAUUCGCCGGCCGAUCGAACCGCAACUCGAGCUCACUGACUCGGUCACUCAGGCUCUGCAGGAACAACUCACCCCCGAGCCUCUCGACUCACUGAAUCAUCCCGUACGAAAGAAGCGACGGUGUUUUGAUUGGGGUCGGACUCAACAGCUCCGCAUCUUCUUCAUUCCAACUCUCUCAACGUCUCACUUAUAAUCCAGUCUCCAGCAAGCUAGCAAGCCCCAUAGUCGACCCACUACUCGAAACACCGUCGUUCUGUAGCGAAACAGCACCCAGCGUUCAAAUCGACAAUGAUGGUUGAUCGUUUGUUCGAGGACAUAUUUCAGAUUCUGCGAUUGAACCCAGAUGGCGAAAAGUUCGAUAAAGUUACUCGAGUAGAAGCAAAGAGUGAGACUUGCGAGAUGUUCAUGCACCUGGAUGUGAAUUCAGAGGUUUAUCUGAUGAGGGAAGGGCAAUCGCAAGACAUUGGCUGACGAAUAUGAGUAUGUCAUGCAAUGGAAGCUUUUUAAGAUUUCAGAGGGUUCUAAACGUGAUCCAAAAGCCAGUGCCAGCACAACAUCACCAUCGUCGAUUGCCAGCCCUCUGGCCCCUCCGGCGGCAUGCUCGCCUUCGUUAACGGCAAUCUCCAGCUCACCAACGAACAACACGCUCUCAAGUCCAGCCAGAUAGAGACAGAGACUGAAUGAGAAUGGUGCAGUGGAAAGAGAGGAUCGAAGGUGGUAAGCUACACGUGAGGGAAGUGAGCAUGCAUGUGGAGGCCAACGAGGAUAAUCAUGGGGGAACACAUGGGGGACAAUGCAAAAGAGAAAGAGAAAGAAAAAGAAAAGGGAGACCACCAGUAAAGCUACAGAAAAAAAAAAGUAGAAAAGAGAAAGUAAAAGCAAAAGAAAGCAGAAAAGGAAAAGCCGAAAAGAAGAUGCUCCACUAUUCCACUAUCCCACAUGAUAACAUGAUUAAAGAUAAGAAGAUGCCUACCAAGGUUCCCCGUCUCCACUUUCUGUUGGACCAGAAUAUGCCCAUCAACAUGCUGAAAACAUGUAAUUUAUUUUUCUUAUCUUUCGGAGACAUCUAUAUAAACCCCAUCAGAGGGUAAUAAUAAUAAUAAAAAAAAAUAGCAAAGCCCAAAAUAAAUGGGCUGGAAUGUUGUGUGGAGGGCGAAGGUCCAUAAGCUCAAAAUAGCACCAACCAGGUGACCAAAAGUACGCCCAGUACUACAAAAAAUUAUUUGGCACCCUGCCGCUAUUAUCGCCAACCAGGUGAUCAAAAAUACGCCCAGUACUUCAAAAUUUAUUCGGCACCCUGCCGCUAUUAUAACCAACCAGGUAAUUAAAAGUACGCCCAAUACUUCCAAAUUUAUUCGGCACUCUGCCGCUAUUAUCACCAACCAGGUGAUUAAAAGUACGCUCAGUACUCCAAAAUUAUACAUGAGCAUCACUCAUGUCAUUCAUACAUAAACAUUCAUGAGCAUCACUCAUGACAAUCAUACAUAAACAUUCAUCACCAUGAUUCAUGUCAACAUUCAUGAGCAUCAUUCAUGUCAACAUUCAUGAGCAUCACUCAUGUCAACAUCUAUGAGCAUUACUCAUGUCAAUCAACAUAAACAUUCAUGAGCAUCACUCAUGUCAAUCUAGCUUCAAAAGCUUCAUUUACAUAGCUCUAGCUUCAAAAGCUUCAUUUACAGAGCUCUAGCUUCAAAGCUUCACUUCAAAGCUUCACCUAAAAAGCUUCAGUGCAGGGUAUACAAAUACCGCAUUCGAACAACCGCCACUUCGACCUAUACAUGGAUUCGAUUUGAAGUCUCCAGCCAACAUACUCUAUUGAUCGAAGACUUGGGGGACUACAUUAUGUACCAUACAUUGGGCCUCAAUUGGGUCUCAUGAAAAAUACUUGGGGAACUCUAGCCCAUUAUGUAUUGAGGAGCGAUCCCUUAUUUUAUAAAAAUGACUCCCUCACUUUCAUUAGAGAGCGCCUAUUAUUCAUGUACUGAGGAGCGAGCCCUUAUUUUAUAAAAGGGACUCCCUCACCUUCAUUAGAAGAGCAUCGUCGCCAGCUGAGCAACCGCCUCGUCGCGAGCAUCACUCUUAACCCAUCACUUAUGUAUUGAGGAGCGAGCCCUUAUUCUAUAAAAGUGACUUCCUCACUAUCAUUAGAGAGUAUCGCCGCCUGCUGAGCAACCGUCUCGCCGCGAGCACCAACUCUAACCCAUCAUUUUUUUUAUUGAAGAGUGAGCCCUUAUUCUAUAAAAGGGACUCCCUUACCUUCGACACCACAAGCCAAACCAACCAAGGCAACAUAAGCCACAAGCCGAGCAGCCUCGCAACAUGUGCUACUUCUAGUUGAGCAUUAUUUCAAAUUGAGCACCGCCUCAUAUCGAGUAUCAGUCCUAGAUGACAUCUAGUUACUUCGGCUCAUACAUGGACUGAGUUUCAAGUCUCCAGCCAAAAGACUCUCUUGACUGAAGACUUGGGGGACUACUGUUUGUACCAUACUUAGGGCUUCCGUAUUUAGAUAUCGUAUAAAUACUCGAGAGACUCAAAUGUAAUUAUGUAAUAAAGGAAUGGGCAAAUCUGUAAUAAGCGAUGAGCCAUUAUUCUAUAAAAGAACCCUUCACUCUCCUCAUUAAGGAGGCCAAUUCCUAGGCCAUGAGAAGCCUCCUCACAUCCCCUAAGCUCUAAGCUCUCUCAAAGCUCUCAUUCUCAUAUUCAGAGCUCUCUCCCCCUCAGAAAUACAAUAUUAGUGUGGACGUAGCCCAAACCUUAGGGUGAACCACAAUACAUCUUGUGUUAUUUACUUUCUUGCAGAUUCACGGUCGGAUUUACGUUGUUCCAAGACCUCUCCAGUUUUGUGCAUCAACAAGUAGUAUAAUUCCAGGCCUUGAAGAAGGCUACAAAGUAUAUGGGAAUAACGUAUCUAUGUAGUGUUUAUGUUUGUUCAUUUCUCCCUUGCGGUUUUUUAUGCCUGUUAAUGCUUGAACAAUGAUGCAAGUCAAUCAAGCAGAUAAGAUUCAGAAAGAAAACUCCACAUCUGUUGCCAGCAAUGCUCAUGGGGAGAAGUAUAGGAAACCAAAGCCUACAAAUCUGAAGCCUUUUAGGUUUAGAAUUGAUGUAUGUGAAACCUGUUGUGACCAAUUUCUUUAAUAAGUAUUAGUAGCGUUGAUGCUUAAUAUGAUAUGUUUUGGCUUUUUUUUUUUUAGGAAAGAGGGAUGUUGAAGGAAGCAACUUUGGAGAAAAAAACUCAUGCACCACUGAAGGAGAUCACAUUAGUCAGGACUCCAGGGGCAAAGUAAACAAGCAAACAUCAGAAUGUUAUACAGGUAUACUUAGGAGCUACAAGUGCUUUGUGUGUGGUUUGAAUCUGAACAAUUACAUUGUGUAUCAUCGUCAUAUAGGCAAAUUUGUUAUGUGUGAUGGUGUAUUUACGCAUGACUGAAAUGGAUGAUCUAAUUUUAUGCAAUUUAUAAUUUUGGGUUUCUCUAAUUUUUUUUUUUUUUUUUGUGAUUUAUUUGAUGAAAGUUUCAAUCUUCAGGUACAUUUUUCAUAUAUGUACUCAUCAAAUGUCACGAUUACUGUUCCUUUGGUUUUUUGGGCUACAAAUUAAAUUUUGGGGUUGUUCAAAUUUGUUUAAUUUGGUCCAAGAUUAAUCGAUUUGAUGUUCUAGGUUCUUUGCAGGCAAAACAUUGGAGCAGUUGGUCAUAUUUGGAAGAGCAAACGAGGAUGGAGUUCUUGGUGUUGCAUGAAGUUGAUGUGUAUCAGAUGGACAUCCAUCAUGUCUUCAAUGGAAGAAAUUUGAUGUCACCAUCUUCAGCUUUCCUCAUGCAAACCAUUACUCUUAGCUAAGUGAAAAAUACUCGGACCUUAUUGAGUAAGUCACUAUUCAUUUCAUUUAAAUGCUGAUUAUGAUAGUAUGUGUAAAUUGUAAAUAUAUUGUACAUAAAAUUUUCAAUUCCGCAGCAAUGCGCGGGCACCAUUGCUAAUAUAUACUAAAAGAGAAAAAUGUGGUACUGUAGAAGUAACAGUGUUAUUCCAUUUCUACCCUUCAAUUGCUAUGUAAAUUUAGCUUUUUGUGUGUAUUAUAGAGUAAAAUGACAUUUUUGUCCAUGCUGGGCAAUAGAAAUCUCUCCAUUUCUUCAGACCCCGCACUCAGCUUUCGCCAUCUCUCUUCCAUCUCUGCUUCGCGCUCUUCAAUCUUUUUGCUUUGUCAUCUCUUCCUCCGUGAUUUCUUCACCAGCAACUUUGCUCAAGAUCUUUCCAAUUGAAAAAACCCAGAUCAUCAUCAUCUAUUCCUCAUCACCACAGGUACCUUCUACACCUAUUACAUGUCAAAAUCUGCUUCGUGUUCUCUUCAUGUUUUAGUUCCUUUUCACUGCUUUUGGUUGAUUUUUAUUCCCAUUUCUUUUCGAUCUCUUCUUUCGUAGCCGUCUGCUCUCUCUUCUUUCUUCGCCUCUGUUGGUCUCAAAGUGGAUAGUUUUGCGAUGAGUUGUUCUAAUCUUGCAUCUACAACUUUUUUAUGCAACUGUAUGGAUUGUGUUCUGUUCAAUUUUAGAUGUUAGAAGCUUUUAAUUUUUUAGGUUCAAUUUUAAAUGGGUUGUUGCUUUCGGAGUUUUCGUUUGAUGACAGAGAUGGGGUUUUUUGGGGAGAAACUUUUAAUAUUUUCCCCCCUUUUAAGCAGCAGACUUCAAAUCUUUGUCCAUUCCCAUUUUAUCGAAAAAACAGUUCAUAAAGUUUCAAUUUUUAUCAGAGAAAAGAGAGAGAGAUGAGAGAAAUCAUAAGCAUUCAUAUUGAGCAUGCUGGAAUUCAUGUGGGCAAUUCAUGCUGGGAGCUCUACUGCCUCGAGCAUGGAAUUCAACCUGAUGGGCAGGUGCCCAUGUAGGUUUUUGUAUAUCUCCAUCGAUAUUUCUAUUUAUAUAUGCACUUUUUUUGGGUUUUUUAUUUAUUUUGGUGGGUGUGUUUCUCAAAUGGUAGUGCCUUCGUCCAUGAGCGGUAGGUCUCGGGUUUGAGACUUGGGAGCAGCCUCUCCAUAAAUGGGGGUAAGGCUAGCCGACAUUCACCUCUCCCAGACCCUGCGUAAAGCGGGAGUUUUGUGCACUGGGUACGACCUUUUAGUCGAUGGUGAAACUAAAAGUUACCAUAAAAGAAAUAGCAUUGAUUUUGCUUGAAUCUGACUGAUCGGAUGCAUUUGCUUUCUUUGCAAGGUUGUUGAAAUUGAUACGUCCCAAGUCUGGUGAGAUUAGAGAUAGUAUCAAGGAACUGAAUAUGAUGUAACAACACAUCCAUUGCAGGUCACUGAAGCUGAUAUUGAACAUUGCCGAUUCAUCAGAACCUAUAUUCUUCUGCGUUUCCUCAAAAUCCAAGGUACGGACUUCACCAAGCCGUAAGUUAUUGGGAUUUUUUUAUUUUGGUUUUGGAUUAGUAAUUUUUUGCUCGGUAGCUGAGAAAAUGUUAUCCCGUGUUUUAGGUCUUGUGUUUUUGUGAUUUUGGGUUCGUAGGUUUUUCAGAUUUUGGGAGUUUGUUUGUAGGCUGCAAAAUCCUCUGUUCUCAAGGUAAGUAAUUUAAAAUUCUGGGAUUAUUCAAUUGAAAGUUUCAAUUUAUAGUUUAGUUUAGUUUAGUUAUUUUAUAAUUAUACAAUAAUUUUAAGUCUCAAGGUGAGUAAAGUCAUAUCAAAUUCAGAGCAGAAAACAACAAAUGUAAAACAAAAACAGAAAUUAUGCAAUAAAUCCAUCUAAAAUUCAGCAAAACGAAGUUCAAGAAACAAACUUUUCAUCUUAAUAUGUUGAAAAGGAAGAGAAUUGCACCUCCCGAGAACACAAACAAACAAACUCUGCAGUAAAGAAACCGGCAGCCAAGUUUGAGUCUUUAACUGAUGCUAUAGAACCCACCAAACAGAAAAACUAACAAAUGGAAGGGGGGAGAGAGAGAGAGAAAGAGAGCCAAAGUUUGAGUCUUUAACUGAUGCUGCAAAACCCACCAAGCAGAAAAGCUCACAAAUGGAAGGAGAGAGAGAGGGAGAGAGACAAAGUUCAAAUGAAUAGUGAAAUGAGGUACAUUUUCCUAGUGAGAUAAGUAAAAGUAUUAAUUAACGUAUUUAUAUUUUAUUAGUAAGAUAAGUAAACUAAGAAUUGUAUAUAUACUAAUAGUUCUGUCUAUUUUUUUCCCCUCUUAUGUUUUGCCUACUCAUAUUCAUCAAUAUGUUAUUCUCUCUUCCAAGGUUCAUGCAUAUUUCUUCUUUUUUUUCAUCAGUUACUUUUUUUUAGAUACAUUUUAUUCUCUGUUUUGUGACUACGGGACAGAGGUUCAGGGCCGAAGGGGUAGAGGAAGACCUAGGAAAACUUUGGAAGAGACCCUAAGAAAAGACUUGAGUACUUGGAUCUAACGGAGGACAUGACACAAAACCGAGCGCAAUGGCGUUCUAGGAUUCAUAUAGCCGACCCCACUUAGUGGGAAAAGGCUUUGUUGUUGUUGUUGUUGUUGUUGUACAUUUUAUUCUCUGUUUUAAAUUAUUGUAUUCAAGGUUCACUUUGUUAUAUUGACUCUGAAAUUCGAACACAAGUUUCUAAAAUAUAAUAUUCUUUUGAACUUUCCAUAUUUCUGAGUAUGCACCGCAUUGAUUAAGGUUUUUUAAAUUCAAGGCCACGAUGUUUGCAUGCCCACAAUCAUGUGAAUUGAGGCUGAAACUGAUAUAAAGUUUGAUAAGAGCAUUUCAACCAUUUAAAUUAGUUUUCUAAUCACAUUAGUUACUUUGUCAAAAGAAAAGAAAAAAGAGCAUCUCUUUCAUCAAUCAUACUUGACAUGCAUCUUAGUGUACAUACAGUUCUCAGUUUUCUGUCUUCCUUUAUUCUUUUAAUUUUUGUGUGUGUAUGUAUUUAACUAUGCAUACACACAGAUCUUGGAUAAAGCAAAGUUCUAGAUGUUUUUUAAUUCUAAUAAACUGAUUAGAAGAAUAAACGUUCAACUUGACUAAGUCUGUUGAUAUUAUCGUAUUAGUGGGAAUUAUAUGGUUGGAAAUAUUGUGUAUAUUUUUAUGCAUAGGCUUGAUAAAAUAAAUCCCGCACUUUUUGCUGCGAUCAAUUUUUCGUUUUUUGAUUUGGUGAAUUCUUGCAUUGUUUUCCAAUGAAGAGGAUUCGAGCAUUAAUAUUGUCAGUAAUGGUGAGACUACUGGUUUUCCAGUCACCCCACAUAAUGAGCAGCUGAGUUGUGCAUCUCCAAGCAAGAAAAGGCUGGAUGCUAUUAGUGAUUCUGCCAAAGAAUCAAAACAAAGUGGUAGGUAUUUACAUUUCCAUGUAUAGGAUUUUGUGGAUUUUAUGAAAUAUAUUGUUUGUUCUUCUCUGAGCGUUGAGUUUUAUAUAUCAACCUCCUUACUUUUAUUUUUCUUCAACAUUCAUGUGCAUCAUUUAGAGGUCGCACUUGGUGUGAUGGCAAGUGCCUUCGCCCAUGAGCGGUAGGUCUCGGGUUUGAGACUUGGGAGCAGCCUCUCCAUAAAUGGGGGUAAGGCUAGCCGACAUUCACCUCUCCCAGACCCUGCAUAAAGCGGGAGCCUUGUGCACUGGGUACGACCUUUAUUCAUGUGCAUCAUUUGACUAUUUGGACUUUGGACUAAAUUGUUGAAGCUGAUUUUGUCAUGGAUACCAUGUGCAGUUUUUAUUAUGGAUACUCACACAUUCGAGAUGUAUACCAGCUCAUUGAACAAGAGGACAUCUAGCAGUCCAAAGAAGCUCUCUCGGUGCAGCAUACACUUUCCUCAAUCAAAUUUUGACAAGGAGGAUCCAGUGAACAAUGGAAUUGGUGAUGAUCCAAAGAGUUAAACUGGUUUAAUUCUACUGAAAAUUGUGUGUUGAUGAUUGCUUCAGUCAAAUUCGAUAUUUUCGGUAGACUAGAGAUGGCUGCUAGAAAAUGUAUGACUGUUCUCUAAUCUAAAAUACACUUCUCAGAUUGCUGUGGUUACUGGUUUGAAUUUUCCUUAUUUACCUUGGUGCCUUUUAACUUUUGAGGUGAAAUUUGUUACGCGACUUCAUUACUUGCAAAAUUUUGUUGAGUCAACAUUCAAUGCCCUUCCUUCGAAUCAAGUUAAAGGUAGGAUCGUACUCGGAGAAGUUUGUGAGGGGCCAAUGGGACAAGGAUUGCAAAAAUACAAGGCUUGCCUCUCAGUGCGUUUCAGACUUACCCUCCUAAAUUUUCUUCCAAAUCACAAUUUAUAUGAUUAAUUUACUGAUUCUUUUUUCGGGAUUUGAGUUUUUGUCUCCUGAUUAUUUUUUGCAGAGAUUGUAUUAAUUUCCCUUUGACUGGAAAUUUGGGGUUUCUUUAGGUAUAAUGUUAUCAAAUUUUAUUUUUCCAAUUUUCUGAUUUUGGAGUUUUGCAGGGAGUGAUAUAUACUAAUUUUUUGGGAUUGUUGGUCUUUGCAGGGUUUUCGCUCGCCAGACAAUGAUAGGUGAAUCACGGCAAGCAACAACAAUUAUGCUGCAAACUGAAUCCAAGAUGACUAACCUGGAGUCUUCAUGGUGGUCGCACCUCUCCUCAUCUUUGCUCCUCCUCCGAAACCCCUCUGUAGGUUUCCGAACUUAAAUUGUAUUUGCUCUCUCUUUCUGCCCUUUAGAAGGGUUUCGGAAAAAUAAUUUUUUUUUUUUUUUACUAUAAUUUUGGUUUUGAUGAUAAAAUUUGGAUUUGCCCAUUUGGGGAUUUUCAAGUUCAGGACCUAGGAAACAAGUAGCAAUGCAGAGGCACUGUUGGAGAGAUUGUGGACCUCUGUUAAAUCACAGUCUAGUGAAGGGAUUAGCCCGUCUAACUUUGUGUUUUAGAUGAAUCCGUUUCGGAUAAGGGAAAAUUCAAACCCAUAAAAAGUUGGGUUUCCUGGUGAGUUGUCCGGCAGAUUUCAGGUGGCUAAUUUCGUGAUUACAAUUAAUUUUGCCUCAUGACAUUGUGGUAUGCUAUCGAAUCUAAUUGGCGAUUUUUUUGUAUGGUUUUUGUGUGGAUGCAGGUCACCAAUGAACAGGUUGAUCACAUCUUGAGUUUUUUGAUUGAUUUAUUCAAUUCUAUCAGUUUUUAUUCUGACCCUCCAUAACAUUUGCAGCACCAUUUGCCUUGCUCCCAUCACAGCUUGGCUUUCAGUUCCUCAGGUAAAGUUUCCACCUUUUUUUCUUCAGGAAAAUAACAAAGAUUCCAAAUUUAUUGAACUAUUUAGUGAUUUUCUGUUGAGUUUCUUCUUAAAAUUUUUAAUUAAAAUUUUUUGAAUUGAAAUGGGGGGAAUGGUGGAUGUGAGAGUCUCUUUUACAACAAUUCAAAGGGAAGAGCUUGAGAGACAGUGGACUCUUCCCCUAUUCCUCCACAUUCCCUUUUACCAAUUUCCAAGAACACAUUAAAUUCCCUCAAAAUAUAAACCGAGGUCUGGAAAAGCUUUGAAUUCCUUGGUUUCCUCCAAUUAGUAUGCAGAACUCUCAAAAAAUAAAGAAGUGAGGGUUGAAUGUCUACCCUCAUAUAUACACAGAGAGAUAUGGAAAAAAUUAGAAUGGUGAAGUGAGGGUUCAAUGACUUAUUUGGUUCUAUUUAAAUAAAGUUCGCUGAUUAGGUUGAUUUGUGUUGUGUACAUACACUUCUUGGCUUUAUUUCUGUUUGAUGGACUUAUUUGUUUCUGUAUCGGUUGCUGACAGAAUGGAUAGGGUGCCAGAAAGAAAGUUUUUGAUAGAAUUAGAGUUUGAUCUCUUCAUUUGGGUUGUGCAUAUUUCGUUUGAUCUCUUACUUGGGUGUAGAUUUCGUUUGAAUUAAUUUGGGUUGCCAUUCGUAAUUCUUUGUUUUUCACUCAAACAUUAUUUAUGAAAAUUGAAGCUAUAAAAUAUUUCAUAUGAUUUUCAAUCCCGUAGCAUCGCACGGGUACAAAUUUCUAGCAACAUCUUAGGAAGGCUGCAAACAAAAAGAAAAAAUCGAAUAUUUAUCCAAAAUGAGUAUGAAACGUUCCAAAAUAUUCCGGUUUUUUAUAUUUAUUUACAAAAAUUAUGUUUUGCAGUCAAGUUUUGUAUUUUAAUGUUAAUUUGGAAUGCACUUUCUUUAUUUUUUUUUAUGUUAAUCAUACACUUAUAUAUUAAAAAAUCAAGCAUAUAUGACAAAAUAAACUGGAUUUAUAUAUAAGCAUAUACAGUAUACCAAAUAUUGGGAAAUAACAAUAAAUUUGUAAGCACGAAAGUGUUCAAGAAUAUCUAAAAACUUGUAAAAGAAAUGAAUUUCUAAAUCAUGUUUCAAAAUUUCUGAGAUUACUACGAAUUGAAAUAUUUUUAAACUUUCGAAUUUAAAAAUUGUGAUCCGAUCUGAUUUAAUUCUACAAUUUAAAAAAAAAUGAAAACGUUGUGUUUCCAAUUCGUCUAUCUGACAAUCAUCUCCAACUGAUUGUACCGGAUCAAAUUGCCCAAUAACACAGUCAAUUAACUUUCCAGAGGGAAACUGAAAUACCUCUGCGAGUCUUCCCAACCCUCAGAAUGGUAGACUGCUAUAACGAAAUCACCAACUGAUUCCCUUUUAAAAAAAUUAAAUAAAAUUAUCUUUCUAGGGCUUGGAGCUGAACUCAUCUAUGCGAACUCUCUAUUUUUAAAAUUCGAACGUAAGAUCUUUAAUUUACAAAUGAAGAAGAAUACCACUAGACUGUAGUACUAAGGUCUUGUUAUAAUGCAUUACAUUCUCUAAUGUUCAUUUACCAUAAAUGUAUCGUGUUUGCAUCGUAUGAAAUAAUCCUAAACUUAAUCCCAAUUUAUUAACCACCAAUACCUAUAAUUUAUCAUGCAAAAUCUUAUCGUUUAUUGCGCUGUAUAUUACUAUCACAUCAACUUCUGACUUAGAUGCAUUCAAUCCACGAAAUUCACUUUGAAAUUUGAAGAUUAAUUUGGUACAUGAAAUAAUUUAUCAAACAAAGAUUCAGUAAAAAGUGACUACAAAUACAACCAAAGGGUAAAUAAUGUAUGAGGAUCAAUACAUGCUAAAAUACACCUUGUAUACAGUCAGAGGAAAGAAUCCACUAGACCAUAGUAUGACAUGUAUUUAUUAAAAUCCACAAAAAUUCACUUGACUCAUUCAAUUUCUUCCUACCUGCUACCACUAUUUAUUUUCAUUUCCAAAUUUUCAUGAUGCCAAACGAUCGUAUUAGAAAACCUAAUUGGUCAAUGAUGAAGUUAAAAGGGAGUUGUGGUGAAAGUUGUUGACAAGAAUGGGUUGGUUGUGUUAUUUUUUAUUAUUUAUCGGAAUUUAAAUUUAGAGGCUAAAUGCUCAUAAGUUGAGAAUUAAAUCUUCAAAAUGAGUUAGGUGCCAAUCACAUAAGGCUAAAUUAAAGGGCAAUAUGAAAAACUAAAUGAGAAAAUUGUAGCAAUAAUCUCUCAACUUUAACUUUAAUAGGAGAAAUGAUCCCUCAACUUUAGCCCAAUUGAAACAAUAGCUCCUCAACUUUAACCCAAUUUUAGUAAUGUUCUUCAAAUAUGGCUCAUUUUGACGGAAGUUCUGACAGAGUUGACGAAAAGAACCAUAGUUAUACGUUUUGGUGAGUUAAGGGACAAAUAGUAACAUAUUUUUAAUUGAGAGAGCAUCGCUCCAAUUGGAUUAAAGUUGCGGUACCAUUAUAACUCAAAUGAGAUAAACCAUAGCAGUAAAAGCAAUUUACAUUGUAACAGCAUCGUCGUCAUCCUGUCGAUGUUGAGAUUUUGUUUGAACUGUUUAAUUUGAUAUGCAGAUAAAAGUCUCUUUGAAUUGCAGAUUUGAAUGGCACAAAAUAAUAAGUAGGUGAUUAACUAACUUGUAACUAAUCAAGCUGAUAUGACGGUAAGUACCAGAAAGAAAAAACACGAUGAACCAACUCCGGAGUUGAGCACAAGUUCACAAACACAACAGACUCGUAUUCUAAAUCCCAUUGCAGCUGAGCAAUAUAUAGAAUUAUCCGAAGAUCGCUUAACCGUAGCAAGAGCACUCUCAGGGAACAAUCUCAUUCGUUUUUCUCUGUCCAUUUCUAUCUCUUUCUCUUGUAUUACUUCUAGCUAGAACUGCAUGCGGAAAAUAUGGGAAAGCAUCUCUUGAUGUAUUUAACUAGAAAAGUUGUGAUGCUUCCACAUUCUCAAGUGAUUUAGACCCUUUUGUAGGUACAUCUAAUUCCCGUUCCGUUCGAAGAUCGAAGGGAAGCUAUACGAAACAAAUGGCAAUGGCUUCGUUUCCUCUGAAUGAAUGAGCUUAAUUAAAAACUGAAUAACAAAUGGCGAAGGCUUCCUUAAUUAAUUUGGUCCAAACUUGAAACAAAGAAAGGAAUAACAUCCCUAACUAAAAGAUUAUACGUAAAAUUAAAAACUGAAUAAGCUUAAUUUCAGUAAAUGAAUCCCAAAUACAUAAUAUACCAAAUAGUUUUCAAAUUCGGAGCAGAAAAUACUGGUAGCUAGCGAGCAAAGAAACAACUAAGAGGGAGAGAUCAGGAAUUUUUGUCAAGUACAAGAUGAUGAAUGCGAACGGAACAUAGAGCAUCAACCCAAUGACAAUGCCAAGUUGCCAACGGAGUCCACGAUGAGCAAGUGAGCAAAUCAGUCCACAACAGCUAGAGCUUGAAACUGUUCGUCCGAGAAGGCUGCUUCCAUGACAUGGUGCGGGCCAAUAUCCCCACCAUUCUCCAAGAAGGACCUGACCAAAUUAUUAGACCUGCCACGCAAUAGCGUCACCCCUGGACAAGGCAAAGCGAUUGAAGGCAAUUCCCGGCACCAAAUAUCCCAAAACAGAAUGUGAGGCACCGCAUCAUCCCCAUACCCUUUGUCCUUAAACAUGGUCCUUAUGGCCUCGUACUGAGUCUCCCAGGCCGCGCCAUCAAAAAAAUCAGGGCCCAUGUCGUCGUCGAAGAUAAAGAGCUUCUGGAUCAUCUGAUCUGGCUUCAAAUUCUCAUUGACAGUCACUUGGAGAAUCAAAUCAAACACCUUUUGCAAAUGAACUACCAGGCAGCCAUCCAUUCCCUUCAAAAAAGAUAAUUUGGACCUUAGGCCAUCGUUGCGGGGUACUGAAUACAGAUGAGGAAGACGAAAACAAAAUAACAGAGCGUGGUCGUCCCCGGCAGCAGCAGGAAGAGGAGCGGAACUGAUCAGCUUUCCUUUCCAGGCUGGCUCUUCAUUCAGUUCACUCACAAAAAGUCCCAAACUCGCAAUCAAUUCCCUAGCCCCGCCCAUAAUGUUAGGAAUGUCGGUACUACAAGAUAGAGAAUGCAUAAGGUAAAGUAGAAAAUGGACACCAAGAAUUUAUGUGGUUCGGCAAUUUAUGCCUACGUCCACCAAACAAGGAUCAAUCUUCACUAUAUGAAAAAGAUGAAUACAACAAGAGUAGUCUUACCAAGCCAAAGACAAGGCUUGAUGGAUACAAGAAAGUAUAACACACACUUUCUAUCACUCUAAACUUCACUCACACAAUGUGUAGUGGAACACUCUCACUCUCACUCUUGGAGUGGAACUCUAGCUUUGGACUUGAUCCUUUGCUACUCACUCUUGGUUCUCAAUUGGUUACAUCACACCCAUAUUUAUAGGUGAGGGCUUGGCAUUCUACUAGUUUCUAGUUCCUUCUUCAAACCUCUAGUAUAGAAAAAUCUAGACUAGCCACAUACUUGUAGCUUCUAGAUCUUUCCAUUUGCAACCAAGGAAGCUAGUACUCUCUAGCUUCUUCCAUCAACUUAAUAACAUGCUAGAAUUGUCUAGCAAGCUCCAGCCUCAUCUCUUGCUUACUAGAAUAAUCUAGAACAUUGAUCAUGGGCUGGACCAACAAUCUCCCCCUCCAGUCCAUGAGGGAGGAAUUCCGAUCAUGACUCCAAGUUACCUGGAGUUCAUCCCAGCAGCCUUAAUGCAGAAUUCCAACUUUGAUUUUGUGACUACAUUUGUCAACAUGUCUGAAGAAUUAUUAUCGGUAUGAAUCUUCUUCAGCUGUAGCAACUUGUUCUCGAUAGCGUCUCUAAUCCAGUGAUAACGAAUAUCAAUGUGCUUAGUGCGUGAAUGAUAUGUAGUGUUCUUGCUCAAAUCCAGAGCACUCUGACUAUCACAAUAAACGCCAUAAUCACUUUGCUUCAAACCCAACUCUUGGAGAAACCGCUUCAGCCACAACAACUCCUUGCAUGCUUCUGUAGCGGCUAUGUAUUCAGCCUCGGUUGUGGACAAAGCAAUGCACUUUUGUAACUUGGAUUGCCAAGACACGGCUCCCCCUGCAAAAGUAAACAAGUACCCAGACGUAGAUUUUCUACCAUCCAGGUCACCUCCCAUGUCAGCAUCUGUAAAUCCUUCCAAGAUUGGUUUGGAACCGCCAAAGCACAAGCACAUCUUAGAAGUCCCCUUCAAAUAUCUGAGAAUCCACUUAACAGCUUCCCAGUGGUCCUUCCCUGGAUUAGAGAGAAACCUGCUCACCACACCUACUGCAUGAGCAAUAUCUGGCCGUGUGCACACCAUUGCAUACAUGAUACUUCCUACUGCUGAAGAGUAGGGAACAACUGCCAUUUUCUCCUUUUCUUCAUAUGUUUUUGGACACGACUCUUUGCUCAACUUGAUAUGAUUGGCUAAAGGUGAGCUUACCGAUUUGGCUGCUUUCAUGUUGAACCUUUCAAGCACCCGUUCAACAUACUUUUCUUGUGACAGCCACAACUUUUUGGAUUUUCUGUCACGAAUUAUAUCCAUGCCCAAAAUCUGCUUGGCUGGCCCUAAGUCCUUCAUGUCAAAGGACUUAGAUAACUCUUCUUUGAGCAUUUUAAUCAUAGAGGUAUCUUGUCCGACAAUCAACAUGUCAUCAACAUAAAGCAAUAAGAUGAUGAAUUUACCUCCAGAAAAUUGUUUGAUAUAGACACAAGAGUCAGCAUGAGUUCUCUUGUACCCAUUACUCACCAUGAAUGAGUUGAACUUCUUAUUCCACUGCCUCGGAGCCUGCUUAAGACCAUAUAAGCUUUUCUUGAGCUUGCACACCAAAUUUUCUUUACCUUUGACUUCAAAGCCUUUGGGUUGCUCCAUGUAUAUCUCCUCUUCUAAAUUGCCGUGGAGAAAUGCAGUUUUAACAUCUAACUGCUCGAGCUCAAGAUCCAUACUUGCUGCCAUACCAAGGAUAACUCGAAUGGAAGUCAUCUUCACCACCGGUGAGAAAAAUCUCAUCGAAGUCAACUCCUUUCUUUUGACCAAAACCUUUGACAACCAAACGAGCCUUGUACCUUGUCAUGUUGUCGUCUCUUUUCAAUUUGAACACCCACUUGUUUUUCAAUGCUUUCCUGCCCUUUGGAAGCUCCACCAGCUCAUAGGUAUCAUUCUUUGAUAAGGAAUCCAUCUCCGACUCCAUUGCCUUCAUCCAUUUGUCACUGUCGUUAUGAGCUCUGGCCUCCUCAUAUGUUUCAGGCUCUCCAUAAUUAGUCAACAUGAUAUACUCUGAUGAAGAAUACUUGGUAGACGGUCUUCGACUUCUGAUGGAUCUUCUGACCUGAUCUUCAUUCUCUUGUAGGGCUGGAGGCUCCCCCUGAUUGGGUUCUCCUUGAAUCUGCUCUUCUUGACUAGGCUCCACCUGAUCAGCAAUCUCAUGGUCUGGCACAUCUUGAUCAGGCUCCCCCUGAUCAGCAUUAUCUGGUUCUGCAGGCACUUCAUUGGCAGCUGCUUCAGGGAUGUCAUCGUGACUUUCUUCAUCUGAAGCUAAUGGAUCAACUCCUCUGUCUGCGCCAUCUGGUUGUGCUUCUUUAUCCGAAUCCCCAAUUGUUUGAUCUUCAUAAAAGAUCACGUCUCUACUUCGAAUAAACUUCUUCUGGUAUGGGUCCCAUAAUCUGUAACCAAAAUCUUCAUCGCCAUAACCAAGAAAGAUGCACGGUGUAGCUUUGUAGUCUAACUUCGAUCUCUGCUCUUUGGGCACAUGCACAAAAGCUUUACAGCCAAACACUUUCAGAUGAGAGUAAGACACAUCAUUACCAGCCCAUACUCUCUCUGGAACAUCAAGACCUAAUGGUACUGAUGGAGAUCGGUUGAUCAAAUAGCAGGCUGUCCUUACAGCUUCACCCCAGAACUGCUUAGAUAACUUUGCAGUCCUCAGCAUACACCUGACUUUCUCCAUGAUGGUUCGGUUCAUUCUUUCAGCAACACCAUUAUGUUGUGGAGUUCCAGGAACUGUCUUCUCAUGACGUAUGCCAUGUUUCACACAAUACUCUCUAAACUGGUGAGAUGUGUACUCGCCGCCGUUGUCGCUACGAAGGCACUUAAGAGGUUUCCCAAUUUCCCUCUCCACCAUGGCAUGGAACUCCUGGAAUGUCUGAAACACCUGGUCUUUGGAUUUCAACAAAUACACCCAAACCUUUCGUGAAGCAUCAUCAAUAUAAGUAACAAAAUAUUUAUUUCUUCCGAGUGACUCGACUUCCAUGGGACCAUACACAUCUGAAUAAACAAGAUCUAACAAAUUUCCUUUCCUUGUAGAUGGAAUCGAAAAACUAAUUCUUCUUUGUUUUCCUAAUAAACAGUGCUCACAAGAGUUUAACGACGUACCUUUGGCAAAGGGAAUGUGAGACUUCUUUGCCAAAACCUGUAGGCCUUUCUCGCUCAUGUGACCUAGCCUCUUAUGCCACAAGUCUAGAGAUGAGUCCUCCACAGCAUUCAACUCACCUUUCAAAACCUUGGCAUUUGACCGGUACAACGUACAACAAAGUCGUGCUCUUGCUACCACCAUUAAGCCUUUAGUAAGCUUCAAUUUUCCUUCGCCAAUAUGGUGAUAAUAUCCUUGUCGAUCAAGGGUACCGAUGGAUAUCAAAUUGAGACGUAUAUCAGGAAUAUGUCUCACAUCUUUCAACAUCAAUUGGCAGCCGAGAUUAGUUCUUAGACAUAUAUCACCAAUUCCAAGAAUUUUGGAAUAGCUUUCAUUCCCCAUCUUCACUAUGCCAAAGUCACCUUCUUUGUAUGUACUGAAGAACUCCCGUUUGGACGUAGCAUGGAAGGAAGCUCCAUUGUCAAAGAUCCAUUCAAUGUCUCUGUCAGAGUUGCCCAUAUGCAGACAUUCACCAACAGACAAUAUUUCUGGUACAUCACCACAUAUGACAGCAGUGGUAUUGCCAGUAUCAUCUUUCUUCUGAUUGUUUCCUUCCCUUUGCUCUCUCUUCCAAACUCGACAAUUUUUUCUUCAUAUGGCCUUCUUUGCCACAAUGGUGGCAUGCACCCCUGAACCUUGACUUGGAUCGGCUAGGACUCCUGCCAUGACCUCUAGGCCCUCUACUCUUGCUUCUUCCGCGGUUCUCUCUGUGACAAAUACUUGGCUGCUAUCUGUGCCAGAAGUCUUUCUCCUUGUUUCUUCAUUGAGCAUGCUAUUUUUAACAUUAUCAAGGGUAAGAACACCAUUAGAAGCAGAGUUACUUAUACUCACCACAAAGGUCUCCCAACUGUCUGGCAAGGAUCCAAGUAACAAGAGCGCUUGUAGCUCGUCCUCGAUCGUCAUUUUCAUAGUAGCCAACUGGUUGAUGAUAUUCUGGAAAUUGUUCAAGUGUUCUGCUACACUUAAACCAUCCUUGUACUUCACAUUGAUGAGCUCUUUGAUCAAGAAGGCUUUCUUAGCUGGAGUCUUCUUCUCGAACAAGGACUCAAGCUUUGUCCAAAACUCGCGAGCAUUGGUUUCAUUAGACACAUGGUGAAAAAACACUAUCGUCCACCCAUUGUCUAAUUGUGCCAAUAGCCUUGCGAUUCAUCUUCUUCCACUCGGCAUCGGACAUGCUCUCUGGCUUAGCGGCAUCUCCUUCAAUUGGCUCAUGCAGAUCCUUGCAAUAGAGAAUGUCCUCCAUCCUUGGCUUCCAUGUUACCCAAUUGGAGUUGGUGAGUUUGAUCAUAGUGCCACUUCCUUCCAUCUCGCAGUACGAGCCAACCGGGCUCUGAUACCACUUGUUAGGAAUGUCGGUACUACAAGAUAGAGAAUGCAUAAGGUAAAGUAGAAAAUGGACACCAAGAAUUUAUGUGGUUCGGCAAUUUAUGCCUACGUCCACCAAACAAGGAUCAAUCUUCACUAUAUGAAAAAGAUGAAUACAACAAGAGUAGUCUUACCAAGCCAAAGACAAGGCUUGAUGGAUACAAGAAAGUAUAACACACACUUUCUAUCACUCUAAACUUCACUCACACAAUGUGUAGUGGAACACUCUCACUCUCACUCUUGGAGUGGAACUCUAGCUUUGGACUUGAUCCUUUGCUACUCACUCUUGGUUCUCAAUUGGUUACAUCACACCAUAUUUAUAGGUGAGGGUUUGGCAUUCUACUAGUUUCUAGUUCCUUCUUCAAACCUCUAGUAUAGAAAAAUCUAGACUAGCCACAUACUUGUAGCUUCUAGAUCUUUCCAUUUGCAACCAAGGAAGCUAGUACUCUCUAGCUUCUUCCAUCAACUUAAUAACAUGCUAGAAUUGUCUAGCAAGCUCCAGCCUCAUCUCUUGCUUACUAGAAUAAUCUAGAACAUUGAUCAUGGGCUGGACCAACACAUAAUUCUGUCCAUGUUACAUACAGCGAAGCAGUUUCUGAAUUUGGCACCCUCCUUGUGCUUGCGCAGCAAUGCAUUCCACUGAAGCUCAGCCGCCUCCCCAACAUUCGCAUCUUGCAAAUAUCGUAUGAUAAAAUGUGGAAGCAAAGCAUCGGGCUCUAUGACGCAGCUUAAAUUGCCUUUGCUAGCUGAUGCUGCUGAGGCUUUCACCUGCUCCAAAUAUUUAAUAUCCACACCCCACCGUCUCGGGUUGAACCUGCCCUGACGCUUGUAGUACUUCUGCAAGGGCGCCAAGAACUCCUUCCUCAGCCGCUCCCACUGAUCAUCCUCCUUUGAUGAUUGAUCUGGUUGUUGCGAUUGCGACACCAAAGGGAAGAGCCGCCUGGCAGUGCUUUCACGAAGCGCAAUGGCGCGGAUGGCAUGGGCGUCGGAGGGGAAUGUGGUGAGGAAACAGUCUGCGGCCUCGGAGACGUAGAGAUCAGCAAAAGCAUCAGCAUCAAUAGGACGUAUAACAGAAUCAUGUUCCCGAGAAUCAUCCUCGUCAUGAUCGUCGUCAUCAGUUAAAUAAUCAGAAGGCUUGAGUUCCAGCUUGUUCUGCUGCAUCUUUUGAAUAUCGGACUUGAGCCGCUCCACGAAAAUAUCCAUAGCGCGGUCGUGCAAGGACUUGUAAUGCGGAUCGCGGUCGUAUCUCUGGCGGUGUUUCUCCUCCAUCUCCUCCACCUCAGUCUCCUGCUGGUCCUGCGGAAGGAGAAGGCCGUAGAGAAUCUUGACAAUGGCGUAUAAUCCCCCGAAAGAGUCAAGGUUAUGCGCCAGAGUUCUGGGGUGGUUGCGGUGGAGCCAAGACAUGGCCGCGGACGAGGCUUCGGAUAGAAGUGAUUUGUGGAGAGGUUGAAGAUAAGCUUGAGGGUGGUGAGGGGGUUGUGGGACCAGGCGAGUGGGAGCCGUUGCUCGAGAGAGUUGAUGAGGGCAGUGUCAGUGUGGGAAGUACGGGCGGCAGAUGCUGGUGGUGGUCGCACCUUGAAAAAGAUAUCGAGGCACGGGUCGCUGUAGAAGGAGGAGGAGGAGUAGGAGGAAGCCAUAAUCUGAGGCUUAGCGGCGGCGUUGGCCACCUUGGACGCUAUGAAGCUUGUUGCGAGGUGGAAUUGCGGAGGAGGAGCGACACCAACCACCCUUGUCAGUGAAGGAAAAGAAACAAUGCUGCCUGGUGUUGCUAAUUUCAGAACCCUGGCCAGAUUCUUCAUCUCUAAAUCUCAAAUUCAAAUUAUGUCCCUCUCUGUUGGGUGGCGGUUGGAGUAGGAAUUGUGGAUCUUUAUUUGUUGGAGAAGAAGAUAUGAGGAUAUAAAUUGGGUCCGGGAGUUGUGCGUGUCAUGUAAUUCUCA
This 23472-nucleotide long non-coding RNA is filed under the name Malus domestica (apple). RNAcentral describes it as "long non-coding RNA (MDOM_LNC003591)". The record is from RNAcentral. Lineage: Eukaryota; Viridiplantae; Streptophyta; Magnoliopsida; Rosales; Rosaceae.